Cyanistes caeruleus (blue tit) is the source of this 3715-nucleotide long non-coding RNA. Lineage: Eukaryota; Metazoa; Chordata; Aves; Passeriformes; Paridae. The record is from Ensembl.
GAUAUAAAUGUCUUUCCUAACCUCAGUGAUUCUCUGGUUCUGGGUGCUUACUGCUGUUUUUCCGAAGCUCUCUGGCACUGGCUGACCCUCUGGAUCAGUAGCACAGGCAGCUGCAGCCCCAGGCCUGCUCUCCUUGGCGCUCACACCUCCCAGCUGGCACUGGCACAGAGCUGGGUCCGUGAUUCUGUCCUGGCACAGUCUCCCACACGCCCGGCACUUGGCUGAGGGCUCCUGUGGGUGCAGCUGCUGCUGUGGGAGCAGGGGCAGAGCAUGGGGCUGGCCACAGCUCACCCACCUCACACAGAGAGCCAGGGACCGCGGUGGGCACUGCAGGGGCCUGCGGGAUAAUUGCAUCUCAGAAGUACACAGCUGGAGGAAAUUGAUGGUAUGGGCUUCCUGGGGCUGUUUUGCAACAAUCCAGGAAGAAAUGGAGAAUGUAGGCUCAAGGAUGAGGAAAGAUCAGCAAAAUCCACAGAAGUUUAACUGAGAAGUAGUAUGCCUCAGAAGAACUGACAGAAAACCUACAAAUGCUAUCAAAAUUAUGGAUAAGAGUGGAAAGGCAGGCAACAGGUAUAGCCUGUCUCUGCAAAGAAGAGAACUCAGUCUCAACUUCAGAGAAGUGCUGUCCUAGAGAAUUAAAAUGGAUUUGAUACAAAAUACCAACCCCCACUGACAUACUGCUUCCCCUCCUCAGUAGGAUUUGGGAGACAUGGAAGACUGCUGUGUGGUACCAAAGUGGUGUACACCUCACCAAUAUAUUGCUUUAGAAAAGUGUUUACAUACUUAAUGUCACUGCAGUUCCUAGACUGAGGGAAAAUCAAGUUGUUGUCCCACCCUCAAAAUUGACAUUAGCCUAUAUAUUAUUGUCUCCUUUUGACUGCCUCCACUUGAACAUUUUCUUUUGAGGCUGGAGUGGGACCUUGCUUCUCUGCAAGACUUUACAUUUUAUUUGUUUUCAUUAAGGCACAAAUCAGGGAAAGCAUAAAAACAAAUGUGCCAACCAGUAGUUCUGCCCUCUGCACAUAAGAAGCAUGCAACAGAAAUUGAUAAAAAACGCUCCUGACUUCCUAUCUGUCUCUUCUUGACCAACUCUCCAAAGCUGCCUGUAUAUAUAUUUUAUAAUUGUUAUUCUUCCAUUUCUUCUAUCUUUUCUCCUUUGAAAAACAGCCUAGAAUGUCAUUAUGGAAUUAGAAGAAGAAAAUCAGUAAAUUACAAUUUAGUAUCUACCUGCAUGUACAAGAAACAUUUUCCCUUCCUGGAGCCUUUCCCAGAAGUUUUGCUGCACUUAACAGACUGUUAAAUAGGCCAGGCUGAGAAGCAAUGACUCUCAUUUACUAUGGGCAUUUCUGUCAGAAGACAUGUCUAAGUCAGAAAAUGUCCCAGUCCUCAAAUACUUCUUUAAAUCAAGAUAGAACUGAAAGAAGCAUUGCCUCAGCUUAAUUAGAGAAAGGGAAGAGAGAUAUACCUAAAUAUACCCAAAUAUAUUCAGGUUUAAGCUCACUGGAAUCCACAGUCUGGGUGCAGAUUCAUCCAUAGUUGAUGUUCAGCAACUCACCCAUCUCUUUCCUAAGAGAUUUGAGUGCUCAGAAAAAGGCUGUCAUUUCAGGGAUUUUUAUCACCUCCCCACACUCCAUUACAGCUGUAGCAAAUGAAGAUGUAAACCACUCCUCAAGAGGGACAUUCAUGAAAAAAAUUUCUGUCUGUUAAACUAGGUAAGCAACACAUCUAUGCUAAGUCAUUUUUCACUGUAAUAGGAUAGCACCAAGAGGGUAAACACGUUUUUCAUCUGAAGUAGCUGCUCCCACAGCACUGUCAGAGAAGCUUGCCCUCCCAAAGCAGGGAGGGGAGAAGAUUAGAAAGCAAAUAAGGAGAAGUUUCAGAAUGACUGAAGUAGAAACUGAUCAAGAUGGGUGGGAAGAGGUUUUGUUCAGAAUCUUGCCUUUUGCUUUCUUGAUAAUGUCUCUAGUGAAACAAGGGCUCCUUCUAUUUGUUGGGAGCCUCCUUUUAGACCUGACCUGACUGACCUAUUCAAUCUUCCUCCUCUGUGUUCUGCCAUAAAUUACUUUAUCACCUCCUGCAUAGCUAGACUUUCCACUGAAUGUUUUCUUCUGGCUUAUUGGAAAUUUUCUUUGUUUUAAAUUUGUACAGUAUUACUCCAAUUGCUGUCAGCAAUAAGAUGCCAAAAUAGAUUCGAAUAUAUGUGGCUGAGUCGCACAUAAGAAAUGUUCUCCUAUUUCACACCCCUUGCUGCAUUUUCUUCUGGUAUUUUUUCGUUUUGUUUCCUUGUUUUCUGUAAACUCUCUCCAUGAAGGCCCUAUGCCACCAUGGGAACAUUACUGGCUUCCUUCAAAAACUAUUAGGAAUGUUCCUUUAACAAGCCAGAUGGGCAAUUAAACAAAAGGACCAUAAGGUGUCAGAGGAAACACAGGGGGAUUUAUUGUUUUUAUACUCACAGAGGUGGAAAUAAGAAGUCACAUCUAAGGUUUGCUAAAGGACAAUUGAAGUGUUGGUCUCAACAUCAUUCCCAAUUCCUGCCAGCUCCCUAUGAAACAUGGACUAGAUUAACCAGUGUGAGACAAUGGUGCAACAGUGUUUGCACUCAAAGCUGAGCCACUUUAAGUGAACUGAUGCAGCAUUUAGACAGACAAACCUUUGGUGAUUGAAAAAAAGUUUCCUUCUCCCUUUGCUUUCAAUCAGACCUACCAAACCAUUAGUUUAAGUCUGAGGCACAAGCACAGGUAGACCUGAUUAGACAAUGAAGAAACCAAAUAGCACCCAGAACCACCUAAAUAUGAGCCUUUAUGAUUUCAGAUUUGGUCAUUGCACAUCCACCAUGUGUGGGGGACAUUUUUAACUAUACCACGGACUCAAGUAUGUCUAACAGCACAGUCAAAAUAACAAGGACAUCAACACAGACUGCAAAACACACCCAAGGAGUCUGGUAAAUAAUUGUGAGGCUAGUCUACCUUAAGCUAUGUGCAGCCUUGGUUAGCAGGCUUCAGGAGUGUUUGUGUUUGGGAACAGAAGGACUUGCCUCACCGUGAGUCCAGAUCAGCCAUACCCUCCACCUGAGAAAGAAGAGGGCGAGCUCUACAAUUGUUACAAGGUUUUUUUGCAUAGAAAAGGGGAGUGAUGUUAGUAUGAAAAACAAACCAAAACUCUGUUUGUCUACAAGCUAAUCCCAAGAGAGAAAUGUGAUUUACUCAGAACACAGCCUGCAGCAGCUUCACUGAAGUCAGUGGGUGCCAUGCAGGAGUAAAAGGGAGACUAUUCCUCUUGACCAGCAGGCAAGCCUGCAGCCUACACAAAUGGCAAAGCUUAUUUCUUGCUGCUGAAUUUUAAGAUUUAGAAUUCUGAAGCAAUGAUUUUGGACUUAAUUUGGGCACUGAAAUCCCUCAUGUUUCCUCUAAAAAUUUUGGUCUGCUUGUUGACAGCUCAUUAAACAGCCCUUUACCUUGAGACAGACCAGACAUUUGUCAGAUCUUUUUUCUACUUUUUCUCUCAGGAUUCAGAAUCAUUUAAAUUAGGUAAAAUUGAACAAAUAGAAAAAACAGCUGGUUGUAUUUUUUCUUUGUUUUUUCCUCUGUAGACUAUAUUAAAAAAAAAAUCACAACUAAUUUUAUGUUGACUGAGCUUUUUCCAAGGUCUUUUAACUUAUAAAAAAAAUGGAAGAAAGUAAAAUAAACUGGUUUUGUAUUUCCCUUCUAUUUUACUA